UGGCCAGAAAGGAUCAAUAAAGAAUCAUGGAUGGGCUCACGGCUAAGAAGAAAGAAGCAACUCGAGGAUGCAUAGUAGGCAAAGGCUUUGCUGGAGUCCGGAGGAAAAUGAAGAUGCUUUGAGAAAGCGGAAGUAGCCUCCGUGCAUUUAGUUGGGGCUUUUAUGACAUAGUUUGAACAAUUUCUAUGUGGUGGUAAACACUUGUCAUGUUGUGUUGGUGAACCAUUUAUAAUAUUUAAGGUAAGGAUGA
RNAcentral lists this long non-coding RNA (250 nucleotides) under Sorghum bicolor (sorghum). Its description in RNAcentral is "long non-coding RNA (SBIC_LNC011340)". The record is from RNAcentral. Lineage: Eukaryota; Viridiplantae; Streptophyta; Magnoliopsida; Poales; Poaceae.